Molecule: ribosomal RNA, 1397 nt
Filed under: uncultured bacterium
Lineage: Bacteria
Description: bacterial SSU rRNA
Rfam family: Bacterial small subunit ribosomal RNA
Source: RNAcentral
GCGACAGGCUUAACACAUGCAAGUCGAGGGGCAGCGGGGGCGUAGCAAUAUGCCUGCCGGCGACCGGCGCACGGGUGAGUAACACGUAUGUAACCUGCCCUAUGCAGGGGGAUAACCCGGAGAAAUCCGGCCUAAUACCGCGUAAUACCUUAGGGGAGCAUUCUCUUGAGAUUAAAGGAGAGAUCCGGCAUAGGAUGGACAUGCGUCGCAUUAGGUAGACGGCGGGGUAACGGCCCACCGUGCCGACGAUGCGUAGGGGUUCUGAGAGGAAGGCCCCCCACACUGGUACUGAGACACGGACCAGACUCCUACGGGAGGCAGCAGUGAGGAAUAUUGGUCAAUGGCCGAGAGGCUGAACCAGCCAAGUCGCGUGAGGGAAGAAUGUCCUAAGGAUUGUAAACCUCUUUUGUCGGGGAGCAAAAAGGCUCUGCGGAGUCGUAUUGAGAGUACCCGAAGAAAAAGCAUCGGCUAACUCCGUGCCAGCAGCCGCGGUAAUACGGAGGAUGCGAGCGUUAUCCGGAUUUAUUGGGUUUAAAGGGUGCGCAGGCGGCGUGUCAAGCAAGCGGUAAAAUAGCGGGGCUCAACCCCGUCGAGCCGUUUGAACUGGCGCGCUUGAGUUCAGGCGAGGUAGGCGGAAUUCGUGGUGUAGCGGUGAAAUGCAUAGAUAUCACGAAGAACUCCGAUUGCGAAGGCAGCUUACCAGUCUGCGACUGACGCUCAGGCACGAAAGUGUGGGUAUCGAACAAGAUUAGAUACCCUGGUAGUCCACACAGUAAACGAUACGCUAAAGGUGUCCGGGUCGAAUGAGGCUUGGGUGCCCGAGCGAAAGCGUUAAGCGCUCCACCUGGGGAGUACGCCGGCAACGGUGAAACUCAAAGGAAUUGACGGGGGCCCGCACAAGCGGAGGAACAUGUGGUUUAAUUCGAUGAUACGCGAGGAACCUUACCCGGGCUCAAACGACUCAGGAAUAUAUUGGAAACGAUGUAGCCAGCAAUGGUCUGAGUCGAGGUGCUGCAUGGUUGUCGUCAGCUCGUGCCGUGAGGUGUCGGCUUAAGUGCCAUAACGAGCGCAACCCCUACCGCCAGUUGCCAACGGGUAAAGCCGGGAACUCUGGCGGGACUGCCGGCGCAAGCUGCGAGGAAGGCGGGGAUGACGUCAAAUCAGCACGGCCCUUACGUCCGGGGCGACACACGUGUUACAAUGGCAGGUACAGCGGGAAGCCACCUGGUGACAGGGAGCGGAACCCGAAAGCCUGUCUCAGUUCGGAUUGGAGUCUGCAACUCGACUCCAUGAAGCUGGAUUCGCUAGUAAUCGCGCAUCAGCCAUGGCGCGGUGAAUACGUUCCCGGGCCUUGUACACUCCGCCCGUCAAGCCAUGGGAGCCGGGGGUGCCUGAAG